RNAcentral lists this ribosomal RNA (573 nucleotides) under Neocnemodon larusi. RNAcentral describes it as "eukaryotic LSU rRNA". Lineage: Eukaryota; Metazoa; Arthropoda; Insecta; Diptera; Syrphidae. RNAcentral also lists the same sequence under 1 other name. The record is from RNAcentral.
CCCGAUGAACCUGAAUAUCCGUUAUGGAAAAUUCAUCAUUAAUAUUAUUAUAUUUAAAAAUAUAAUAAAAAUAGUGUGCAAUUUUUCCAUAUAAGGACAUUGUAAUCUGUUAAUGUUUUAAAUAUUUAUCAAAAAGUCUAUAACAUAAGUUUAUUCAAAUUAGUUAUUUUCGAAUUUCUAACAUAGAAUAAUUGUAUUAGAUUCGAUAAAUCAUUGACAGAUUUUACUAUAUAUAAUGCUUAAAUUCAUUUUUGAAUUUUAUAAUUAUAAUAAAAAUUUAUUUUUAUUUAUAAUUAUAUGCAUUUAUAUGAUUAACAAUGCGAUAGAUUCAGGAUACCUUCGGGACCCGUCUUGAAACACGGACCAAGGAGUCUAACAUAUGUGCAAGUCAUUGGGUAUUUUUAAUAAAACCCAAUGGCAUAAUUAACUUAACUGUUUUUUAAUGGGAUUAGUUUAUAUUUUAUUAUGAAAUAAAAAUUCAAUCCCGGGGCGUUCUAUACAGUUAUGCAUAAUGAUAUUUAUAUUAUUUAUGCCUCUAACUAGAGCGUACCUUGAGCAUAUAUGCUGUGACCC